GGCACACACACGCGGCCCCUGUUUAAGCGCUCGCUAAAGCUCUCCCGCACGCCGAUGCAGAUGACAAGGCCGAGCUGUCAUGGUAAACAAUUCAAGCCUUCGUGUCGACACUGUCACUGUCCUGACAAAAGCACCCAGAGUCGACGCCAUGUAUCAUUAAGAAACCAUCUCGACAUCGCGCUCAAUUACUUCAUUUGAAUCGGCGGGACGUGAAUUAGGAGAAAGACCAAUCUGCUGCUGCUGCUGCUUCGGCUGAAGAGCAGGAUGGCAAACGCCGGUUCGUGCUUGUGGUGCCUGGUGUGGCUGCUGCUGCUGCUUUUCUUCGGCUGGCCCAUCGGCAUCACCCUCGGGGGUCUCUACGGCCUCAUCAGCCCCCUCACCACCUGCCUGGGCCUGGAUCGACUGUCGGACUUGCUGCUGGAAGGCGCCAACCUGGGCCGUACUUGCGCACAAAACAUGAAGCACUGUAAGCCGCUGUGUUGAUUGUUUUUUGACAGCAACGUGACGGCCCUGUCGAAAGAAGGUCAACACGACGGUGGGCGUUAACACGAAAAGUGAGCAUGAGUUUGUUAUUGGCCAGGCUGAAGGGGGGCUUCACAUUACUGAAUUGACGAUGACGCUGCACAGAGGAGAUAAGAAUUGAACAAUGGCCACACUCUGACUUGCGAAUGCAAACUUCUAAUGCGAUUAAAACUGCUUUGAACUCCU
Long non-coding RNA from Syngnathus typhle (broad-nosed pipefish), 708 nucleotides. RefSeq lists it as uncharacterized. The transcript is spliced from 3 exons. The record is from RefSeq and is a predicted model, not a curated record. NCBI's taxonomy places the organism in Eukaryota, Metazoa, Chordata, Actinopteri, Syngnathiformes, Syngnathidae.